RNAcentral lists this ribosomal RNA (606 nucleotides) under Pichia kluyveri. RNAcentral describes it as "partial large subunit ribosomal RNA". It matches the Rfam family "Eukaryotic large subunit ribosomal RNA", at positions 45 to 669 of the family's 3401-position model. The record is from RNAcentral. Lineage: Eukaryota; Fungi; Ascomycota; Pichiomycetes; Pichiales; Pichiaceae.
AAAAAGCGGAGGAAAAGAAACCAACAGGGAUUGCCUCAGUAGCGGCGAGUGAAGCGGCAAGAGCUCAGAUUUGAAAUCUCACCUAGUGUGCGAGUUGUAAAUUGCAGGUUGGAGUCUCGGGUUAGACGUGUGUGCAAGUCCCUUGGAACAGGGUGCCACUGAGGGUGAGAGCCCCGUAUCGUGCAUGUCGACACCUGUGAGGCCCUUCUGACGAGUCGAGUUGUUUGGGAAUGCAGCUCUAAGUGGGUGGUAAAUUCCAUCUAAGGCUAAAUAUUGGCGAGAGACCGAUAGCGAACAAGUACUGUGAAGGAAAGAUGAAAAGCACUUUGAAAAGAGAGUGAAACAGCACGUGAAAUUGUUGAAAGGGAAGGGUAUUGGGCUCGACAUGGGAUUUACGCAUCGUUGCCUCUCGUGGGCGGCGCUCUGGGUUUUUCCUGGGCCAGCAUCGGUUUUCGUUGCAGGAUAAGGACAAUUGGAAUGUGGCUCCUCGGAGUGUUAUAGCCUUUUGUAGAUGCUGCGUAUGGGGACCGAGGGCUGCGGCGGACUCGUUUCGUCUCGGAUGCUGGCACAACGGCGCAAUACCGCCCGUCUUGAACAACGGACCGA